GAUGAACGCUGGCGGCGUGCCUAAUACAUGCAAGUCGAGCGAACAGACGAGGAGCUUGCUCCUCUGACGUUAGCGGCGGACGGGUGAGUAACACGUGGAUAACCUACCUAUAAGACUGGGAUAACUUCGGGAAACCGGAGCUAAUACCGGAUAAUAUAUUGAACCGCAUGGUUCAAUAGUGAAAGACGGUUUUGCUGUCACUUAUAGAUGGAUCCGCGCCGCAUUAGCUAGUUGGUAAGGUAACGGCUUACCAAGGCAACGAUGCGUAGCCGACCUGAGAGGGUGAUCGGCCACACUGGAACUGAGACACGGUCCAGACUCCUACGGGAGGCAGCAGUAGGGAAUCUUCCGCAAUGGGCGAAAGCUUUACGGAGCAACGCCGCGUGAGUGAUGAAGGUCUUCGGAUCGUAAAACUCUGUUAUUAGGUAAGAACAAAUGUGUAAGUAACUAUGCACGUCUUGACGGUACCUAAUCAGAAAGCCACGGCUAACUACGUG
Molecule: ribosomal RNA, 497 nt
Filed under: uncultured bacterium
Lineage: Bacteria
Description: partial 16S ribosomal RNA
Rfam family: Bacterial small subunit ribosomal RNA
Source: RNAcentral